ACGAAGGUGGCGAGCGUUGUUCGGAAUCACUGGGCAUAAAGCGCACGUAGGCGGUGACGUAAGUCGGGUGUGAAAUCCCUCGGCCUAACCGAGGAACUGCGCCCGAUACUGCGUUGCUUGAGGACCAGAGGGGUGCAUGGAAUUUCCGGUGGAGCGGUGAAAUGCGUUGAUAUCGGAAGGAACUCCGGCGGCGAAAGCGAUGCACUGGCUGGUUUCUGACGCUGAGGUGCGAAAGCCAGGGGAGCAAACGGGA
This 253-nucleotide ribosomal RNA is filed under the name uncultured prokaryote. RNAcentral's name for it is "partial 16S ribosomal RNA". It matches the Rfam family "Bacterial small subunit ribosomal RNA", at positions 525 to 777 of the family's 1533-position model. The record is from RNAcentral.